GGCCAGGAUGGGGCGCGCCUGGGCUCCCACUUCCCGCCCAGAGAAGGCAGGAUGGCGGCCAGAAUGGGGCGCGCCUGGGCUCACUCCCAGCCCGGAGAAGGCAAGAUGGCGGCCAGGAUGGGGCGCGCCUGGGCUCACUCCCAGCCCGGAGAAGGCGGGAUGGCGCCGCCACUUUGGACAACCCUUGGUCAGGUUUUUAAAAGUUAGAUGUGCCCAGUAACUGAGAAAUCCCGAUUCUUACAGCUCCACAAAAAGCCGCAUACAGGUGUUCGUGGCAGCUUUAUGGUAACAGCCGCGAACUGGACGCCACCCAAAUUCCCUUCAGUGGGCGCCUGGAUGGGCACAUUGAUGACAAGCAAUAAACUACCGACCCACGCAAUUGUCACAUGCACGGCGGGGGCGGCGGAAGCCGGGUCAAGUCCGCGGGGUUCCUUUUCUGCGACUUUUGGGAAAAGCAAAAGGUGCAGGGGGAGAGCAGGUCAGCGGCUGCCAGCGGCCGGGUGUCCGGCCUGAGCUGGGGAAGAGGUGAGAGUCUCCAUGCGAAGUGGACUGAGCACUUUCUGAACACCUGAGAUAAGAUGGUUCUAAUUCCCCAGUGUGAGCUGGAAGCUCUGGGAUCCAGCCCGGGCUGAAACGCAGGGAAGGACGACCCCGGGCAAAUCCGAAGACAGGGAGCGAUCAACACAAAGCUGCUCCCAAACCAAGGCCGCCGCCUGUGCCGCUUCCCUCCUCCCCCCGACUCCCAGAGGCAAAGCCUCUUUCCUCUGCCGGGUCCCUCCCGCCCGGCGUGGGUAGAAUCUUCUGGGCCGAGACAGUUCCUCCACUCGGCGGGACACUGCUACGCAAAACGGGAAACGAGUUGGUGAACCCCGGCGUAAACACCCUACAGUUCCCAGGGGCUUCUGCAUGCGGAAUUCAGCUUUUCAUGAGCUUGGGCAGGAGGCCGAAUUGGAAAAACUAUGGGCAGAGACAGCUGGGGACCAGACACCCUGCAGAGAGAAGACUUGCUGUCCCUGAUUUAGGGACAAUGGGCUCAGAGGCCUGAAGGUCCUUGCUCGGACACGGGAUGGGAGUGGCAGGGCUGGAAUGGCAGCUCAGCCCCGUGGCUCCUCAAUGGGGCUCAGUACAGAUCUGGGAAAAUGGGUUUUGUUUUGAAGUUAGUAUGAGCCUGGGGUUUCCAGGGGCCUAGUGAUGACUGUGGGUCUAAAGUCAGGAACAGUGCAGGAGAGAACUGGACUGUUAUUCUCUUCUAUGGGGAACUCUCGAAGUGUCUCAUUUGAAGGUAUCUAUGAUACCUUAAUACCAAAUUCCUCUCAAGAAAAGCAUGGAAAUCAUUGUGGAAGGGAAAGCAGGGGGUCUUCUUGUAAAUUCUUGCCCCGAUUUGGCCCUGUCCUGGAGCGUGUUCCCCACAACCCUCACCCCCAGGACCAGUCUCAGCUCAGGCUCCUCAGGGGACAGACUCCAGUGGAGAGGACAGAGGCUCCCAGGAUAUGAGGCAAGGGAGUAUCUGGAUGGGGUGGGGCAGGUUCCCUGGAGGCCAGCAGCUGGAGGCAGGGGUCUCAGCAGGCACGGGCUCCACCUACCGGGCACUGUGAUGGUGAGGGUGGUGUCCUCAAGGAACCGCUCGGUCCAGUACACAGAGGGCCUGGAAUAAGUGAGCAGCUCAGGGCAAGGGAGGCAGAGAGCCCUGGCCCUGCCCGGAAACAAGCCAGGGUCUCUGCCGGGAGGGUGGCCAAGGGGGGGUGUGGAGUUGCUGGAAGAGGGGGUAGGCCAGAGAAGGACAGGGAGGGGGCCACCGGGACGUGUGGAUUGUUGUGAGCAAGGCUGAUGUCCAGAGAGGGAGGUAGCUGGGGGAAAAGCAUGGCUAAGAAGAGGGCCCAGGGCCAUCUCCUGGGAGCAGACCCAGGUCACAGCCGAUUGCCUGAGUCCAAAGCACAAGGGUAGAGAGCCCCACAUCUGAGGAGCCCUCCCCAUCCUCCUCCCUAGAGAGAAGAGGGUGGCUCGAGUGGAGGGGCUCCCCGGAACCUGACACGUGUCCCCCGGCAUAGGCAGAUGGAGGAGACAGCCCUGGACUUACCAGUAGAGACAGAACCGUAAGCUCAUCUUGCAUGGGAAAAUCCAAGCAUACCCCUUACCACAGCAUCCCUUCCUGCGAGGAGACAGGGUCCGAGCCCCCACUGCCUUUUGCCCUGGGUCUCCCGUUUGCUCCCAAACUCCUCUCUCUCCUUUGGCCACCGCCCAGAGGGCCACCGAGGGCCGCAGUUCCCUAGCCAGGCCCGGCGUCUGGCCACCUCCUUAACUGGCCAACCCCAUCUACCCUAAGUUUGCUGGAUGUGGUGGCGGUUGUGGGAGGGGAGCCGAGCAGUGGGGACAGGAGGAGCCCGGGAAGGGUGCAGAGGAAGCCCCAGCCCCCACGAGGCCAUGGUUGGUCUGGCCUGUCCUCACCUGUCUUUCAGGACUUGCCAGUUUAUCUUGGGCUCUGCCAGCUCCAUGAGCCUCCGCCGCCUUGUCUUCCUCCUUGCUUUGGCCAUGACGGUGCUGGGGAGCUUCUGGCUGAUGGACAGCCGGCUUUGGGAGAAUUCCAUGUUGAAGUUGGAGCUGCUUUCUCGCCCCGACGCGUUUGGGGGCCCAGAGAAGCGUGGGUCUUGCUCGAGCGCCCUGCCCACCCGCCUCUCCUUUCCCGAGAAGGGUCUCUGGGGGAGGACUUUGGCACCACGAAGGCCUGGACCAAACCGCAGCUCCACUGCUGGCUGGAAUGGAAGACCCUGGCCAGGUCACCCGGCUUCCCAGGCCCUCAGCCGCCUCCUCUGUGAAUUGGAGAUGAGACCAGCUCCCACCCGGUGGGGCUGUUUCAGUGAGUUCUAAGGCUAGCACGGCCCGGUGAGGACAGGGCUGCUGCUUUGUUCUUGGGCGGCACAAGUCCCUAGGCAGGACGGAGACCACGGUGAGAAGGACGCAGGCUGGGCGUGGGCGUGGGCCGGGACCACACUCUGCAGGGAGGGCGGGAGCCAAGUUCCAGAGGUAUGUAGAGUGCGCGCCUUGCCGGGGACACUCGGGCAACUUGCCCAGAAUCACUGCCCCCAGUGCCGAUUCGCUGAAGCGUUCGUUCGCCCAGAACGUGUUCCUCCCGACCAUUUAAAACGUUUUAGCCACGUGUGGUGCUUAGAAUUGUUUCAGCUUUUGAGUUAGGAGGCUUUUUUUUUCCCCAUUUCUUUUUCUCGCUGUCUGACUUGAAGUCAUCACUUGUUAAACUGAACUCUGGACACCUGAACUCAGUCUGCCUGACUCCA
Chlorocebus sabaeus (green monkey) is the source of this 3290-nucleotide non-coding RNA. Lineage: Eukaryota; Metazoa; Chordata; Mammalia; Primates; Cercopithecidae. The record is from RefSeq and is a predicted model, not a curated record.